UUAAUGAGAGUAUUUCUCCCAGCAGCACUUGCUCUGAAGGAACACUUAGUUCAUCAGAAGAAAAAAAGCCCAUUGUUGUCACCAUCUCAAAUCUGUUGGGUAGAUACCACAGCCGAGUCUUGGCAUGAUCCCCCUGUCUGCAGUUAGCAGAGCUGUCAUGCUGUGUGGCCUUGGAAUGAUCUCCAGAUUUCAUGUGAUGCCAAUGAAGUACAUGAAAAACUGGACUCCCAGAAACCACCACAAAGUAAUCACUUUCCCAUCUCUGCUUGGUACCUUUGAUUCUUCUACAAGCACAUCUCAGGCAGCCAAAAAGAUUGUGUUGAAUUUUAUGUUCUGUGGGUUUCUUUCCAAAAUAAUAGAUAUGGAGUUUGCAAUCUCCCCCAUGAGAAGAACAUGUUUUGGGAAGAAUGGGAGUCAUAUGGAAGUGACUUGAACCCAACUCUCAGCCUGGAAUCAGGCUCAGUCUAGAGAAGCUGAUCCCUAGACAACCUGCAGAUACAUGAGUAAGAAAUAAAGACCUGUCACGAGGUUUUAA
This 535-nucleotide non-coding RNA is filed under the name Pongo abelii (Sumatran orangutan). The record is from RNAcentral. Lineage: Eukaryota; Metazoa; Chordata; Mammalia; Primates; Hominidae.